UGCACAGCUGGGAUGAUUGUAAUAAAGAAAAGGGAAAAGUUUAUAUAGAGCCUAGGCUCUAAACAAUCAAAUUAGAGCUUUACCUAAAACAUUUCACUAAAAGAAGUUGUUUUGAUGCUCAAAUAUCCUCAAAUUGAUCAUAUCGGCAUCAUAAUGCAUAGACUUGAGAAAAAAUGGAUUUCAAGAUUUGGAAAUAGUGCAUCUUGUAACGCAUUUUUGGAUCGUCAAUUUUUAAAUUAUUCAAAUUGUCAUAGAUCAGCUCGAUUUAUACUAUUUUCAAAGCUUUAAAUUUUAUAAUUAAAGAUGAAAAUAUAUUUUCAAGCUAGCCAAAGAUUUCCAAUGUUGAAACCACAUUUAUAGACAUUUGAAAGUGGGCCCUCAUUUGAUUGCUUAGAGCCUUGGCUCUAUACGAACCGCACCGGGAAAGGGAAAGGUAUAGUUUUAGUACAAAAGGCCACAAUAGCUCUUGUCUAUCAAAUUUUAAAUUAAAGUGUAGCAAGUGUACAUGUGACAAAAAAAUUCUUAAAUUUCGUGACAUACCCCAAGCAAUCCAAUUAAACAUUUAAUGGUUAAGAUUAAUUGUGACCUCUUUAUACUAAAGAUAAAUAAUCUCGUAAUAUUAAAAUCUCAUAAAUAAAAAUUAAACAAUUAUAUGGUCUUUCUGUUCCUUCUUUCUCAGUACUAAAACAAAAACAAAAACAUUUCAAGCCACUUACAUAAAACCGAAAAUGACCUUUAGGUCCCUUUGAGAUAAAAUGCUUUGUACAGACAAAGAAAGUGCAUUGGGACCUUUUGCCUAUUUAUCUUCUUUUUAUUUUAAUGUCAACAAAAAAUCAUUUACUAUACUAAAAUAAGUACCAUGUAUGAAAAAAAGGACAAACCACAGGGCCAUGAGUGAGUCCCUAAGAAUGAAUGACUUAGACAAAAGCACAAAAGAUUAAGCGCUUACUACUUUUGGAACCGCCAUAUAUACUACAAAAAAUGAGAUCAUAAUCCCCUAUUUUUAUAAGGGUGUGGUUUAUAUAAGGUUGCAACUUUAAACAAUCCAAUUAAGGAGCACUUCCAAAUUUUAUCAUAGCACAUAAUUUUGAUGUAAAAAAUUCUUAAGAUUAUCUGAAAAUAUAUUUUUAUCUCUAAUUAUAAAAUUUUAAACUCUAAAAAUAGUUAAAAUCAAGUAGAUCUAUAAACAUAUGAAAAUCUUGAAAAUGGACGGUCUAGAUAAUGUGUUGCAAGAAACUCUAUUUCUGAAAUUUAAAAUCUUUUUUUUUUGUUUUCAUGUUCGUUAAUCUCGAUGUCGAGAUGAUCAAUUAGAGGAUUUUUCAACAUUAAAAUAAUAUUUUCCGAUGGAUUUUUGAGAUGCAUCUAUAAUUCUACAUUUUACUGUUGCAACCCUAUAUAAACUUUUUCCUUUAUAUAAGGACACUUAUUGUUUGUACAAACAGAUUAUAUGCGCCCCAGAGUAUAUCCUAUAUUCACUCCCUUGGCGAAAAACCUUAUCUACGAGUAAUUUCAGGACCUAAAUUUCCUUGGCUGAAGGAGAAAUCUCCCCCACCCCACCAAAAAAAGAAAAGAAAGAAUCGUCUGUUCUUUAUAAGUGCCUCAAAGAAAUAACAUCCCAAAGAUUGAUAGUUACUAUCCAAUAUUUGGACGGUCACAUCUAAGUAUUUAGGAAGUUCAGAUUCGAUUUUUUUUUUCUCUGAAAAAAGUUGUUUUUUUUUUUUGUUGAAAAUAUUGACUUUGUAUUAACGUAAUAGAAAUAGUAAAAAAAUCUUCGUUCAGAAAAAGGUAAAAUUAUGGUGUGUUUCCUGACACACCUAUUCAAAUGCAAUUCCCUUCCAAAAAAAAAAAAACUCAUUAUUAAGAUAGAUUUAGGAUAUCAAACACAUCCUAAGUCCUUCUUGAUGCAUUUCCGCUUUAGACCCAUGAAUUUGCAACUCAAAAUAUAGUGCAUGAUGAUAUGCAAAUAAUUACAAUAAAAUGUCCAAAUACAAAGUUUAAAAUAGUCUAUUUUAAUGUUAAAAAACUAUGUUUUUUUUAGAUUCAUAGUCAUAUGGGGGUUUAGAUUAUCGACAUGUAAAAUUUUAGAUUCAAAAUCCAUCUCUAACAUAGAUUUUUGGAAGGAAACUUAGGUGCAUUGCUUGAUGCCCAAACGUACUAAUAUGAAUUCCAAAGUGGAUUUCGGAAAGAAUUCCUCCGAGGGAGUAAGUCUAUAACAAGCUCCUGGAGGUCUACGCUAUAAGGAGGACGUUUAACCAAGGGAAUAACUCUAUAACAAGCUCCCUCAAGACUACACUAUACACCCUCAUUGUUUAUCUUUCCUUUCUUUAUUUUAUGGGUGCAGUUUGCAUACGGACACAUCCGUAGGUGUAGAGGGAAGG
RNAcentral lists this long non-coding RNA (2378 nucleotides) under Amborella trichopoda. RNAcentral's name for it is "long non-coding RNA (ATRI_LNC004885)". Lineage: Eukaryota; Viridiplantae; Streptophyta; Magnoliopsida; Amborellales; Amborellaceae. The record is from RNAcentral.